Molecule: ribosomal RNA, 496 nt
Filed under: uncultured bacterium
Lineage: Bacteria
Description: partial 16S ribosomal RNA
Rfam family: Bacterial small subunit ribosomal RNA
Source: RNAcentral
GAUGAACGCUGGCGGCGUGCCUAAUACAUGCAAGUCGAGCGAACAGACGAGGAGCUUGCUCCUCUGACGUUAGCGGCGGACGGGUGAGUAACACGUGGAUAACCUACCUAUAAGACUGGGAUAACUUCGGGAAACCGGAGCUAAUACCGGAUAAUAUAUUGAACCGCAUGGUUCAAUAGUGAAAGACGGUUUUGCUGUCACUUAUAGAUGGAUCCGCGCCGCAUUAGCUAGUUGGUAAGGUAACGGCUUACCAAGGCAACGAUGCGUAGCCGACCUGAGAGGGUGAUCGGCCACACUGGAACUGAGAACCGGUCCAGACUCCUACGGGAGGCAGCAGUGGGGAAUCUUCCGCAAUGGGCGAAAGCCUGACGGAGCAACGCCGCGUGAGUGAUGAAGGUCUUCGGAUCGUAAAACUCUGUUAUUAGGGAAGAACAAAUGUGUAAGUAACUAUGCACGUCUUGACGGUACCUAAUCAGAAAGCCACGGCUAACUACGU